GACGAACGCUGGCGGCGUGCCUAAUACAUGCAAGUCGAACGCAUUUUCUUUCACCGUAGCUUGCUACACCGAAAGAAAAUGAGUGGCGAACGGGUGAGUAACACGUGGGUAACCUGCCCAUCAGCGGGGGAUAACACUUGGAAACAGGUGCUAAUACCGCAUAAUUCUAUUUACCGCAUGGUAAAUGGAUGAAAGGCGCUUUUGCGUCACUGAUGGAUGGACCCGCGGUGCAUUAGCUAGUUGGUGGGGUAACGGCCUACCAAGGCUGCGAUGCAUAGCCGACCUGAGAGGGUGAUCGGCCACACUGGGACUGAGACACGGCCCAGACUCCUACGGGAGGCAGCAGUAGGGAAUCUUCGGCAAUGGACGCAAGUCUGACCGAGCAACGCCGCGUGAGUGAAGAAGGUUUUCGGAUCGUAAAACUCUGUUGUUAGAGAAGAACAAGGAUGAGAGUGGAAAGUUCAUCCCUUGACGGUAUCUAACCAGAAAGCCACGGCUAACUACGUG
This 507-nucleotide ribosomal RNA is filed under the name uncultured bacterium. Its description in RNAcentral is "partial 16S ribosomal RNA". It matches the Rfam family "Bacterial small subunit ribosomal RNA", at positions 28 to 507 of the family's 1533-position model. The record is from RNAcentral.